UUAAAUUGAAGAGUUUGAUCAUGGCUCAGAUUGAACGCUGGCGGCAGGCCUAACACAUGCAAGUCGAACGGUAACAGGAAGCAGCUUGCUGUUUCGCUGACGAGUGGCGGACGGGUGAGUAAUGUCUGGGAAACUGCCUGAUGGAGGGGGAUAACUACUGGAAACGGUAGCUAAUACCGCAUAACGUCGCAAGACCAAAGAGGGGGACCUUCGGGCCUCUUGCCAUCGG
This 229-nucleotide ribosomal RNA is filed under the name Escherichia coli. RNAcentral describes it as "partial 16S ribosomal RNA". It matches the Rfam family "Bacterial small subunit ribosomal RNA", at positions 1 to 224 of the family's 1533-position model. The record is from RNAcentral. Lineage: Bacteria; Pseudomonadati; Pseudomonadota; Gammaproteobacteria; Enterobacterales; Enterobacteriaceae.